UACGGGGGGGGCAAGCGUUGUUCGGAAUUACUGGGCGUAAAGGGCUCGUAGGCGGCCAACUAAGUCAGACGUGAAAUCCCCAGGCUCAACCUGGGAACUGCGUCUGAUACUGGAUGGCUUGAAUCCGGGAGAGGGAUGCAGAAUUCCAGGUGUAGCGGUGAAAUGCGUAGAUAUCUGGAGGAACACCGGUGGCGAAGGCGGCGUUCUGGACUGCAACUGACACUGAUGAACGAAAGCUAGGGGAGCAAACAGG
Molecule: ribosomal RNA, 253 nt
Filed under: uncultured bacterium
Lineage: Bacteria
Description: partial 16S ribosomal RNA
Rfam family: Bacterial small subunit ribosomal RNA
Source: RNAcentral